Molecule: long non-coding RNA, 2233 nt
Organism: Lathyrus oleraceus (garden pea)
Lineage: Eukaryota; Viridiplantae; Streptophyta; Magnoliopsida; Fabales; Fabaceae
Exons: 2
Source: RefSeq, a predicted model, not a curated record
CAAUGGCUCAGAUUGAAUUUAAAUAAACAUUUAAAACACGCGCCAGUUCAAGGAGACACCCCGAUCACCACCUCAGCUUCUCACUGCCAUGGACCACCACGCCGGGAAUCGCUUCUGGUGGAGGUGUCCACCAGAAAACUAAAACAAACACAACACCAUGACCGUCUUGGACCCCCCAUCAUGAAUCUGCCACUGAUUUUCCUUAAUUUUAUGUCUAAGGUCCAAACCGAUACCAAAACUCCAAGAACCAUUAAAUUUUAAAUACAAGGAUUCAAAGCCCCCGGGGUUGGGGCUUUGACUCCCUUCCUCAAGCUCUACAUCUCGGUAUCAAUGAUUGAAGAAAAGAAGGAUGAAAAAGAAACUCAUCGUGCCAGAGAUUUCGAAGGUGACGACGACGAAUUCAGGUGAAUACUCAAAUUUUCCCCUCUUUAUCGUACUCGUCCAACUCUCUUCGUUCCUUUGUGCUUCUUUGAUUUUGUUUUGAAUGCGAGUGUGAAUCAAGUGAUGUGAGGUUCUGAUGUUGAGGGGAGUGAUGAGAAUGUGAGGGCUUGAUGAUGCUUCUCUGGUUCGGAAUGAUGAAGGUGGUUCUUCUGUGAGGGUGAAUGAUGAAUAGUGAUUACAGAGCUUUUGUGAAUGUGAAAAGUUGAUUCGAAACUAGAAGAUGAUUCUGUUAUGGUGGUGAAUGAUUGGAGUGUAUUUCGAGAGGAUGAGGGUGAAUGAAUGUGAAAUGAUUGAGAAGUGGUUAAGAAUGACUGUGUAAUGAUUGGGUGAAGGAUGAAAGAAUGAUUGGCCAGUUCUGUAAUGAUUGGAUGUUAUUAUUUAUAGGUCGGUUAUAGCAUAGGGAUUGGGAAAGUGCAGUUAGGAUUCAGUUGGAAUUUUGAGGUUGAGUUGUAACUGACUUUGUGGUUCCUAAUGAAGGUAGUUGGUAUUGAAAUAUUAGUUAGGAUUGGACUGGUACAAUUGGACUUAGUUAGUCAUGAGCUGGAACUAGCUUUACUGAAAUGAUUCAAUUGGGUGAGAUCUAUUAAAUGGUCCUUUGAUUCUGGAACUGAUAUGUUAGCUCAGUUCAAUGUCCAUUAUAUAGAGACAAUGUUCAAUUAAGUUCAGUUAAUUGGUGAGGUAAGUUGUUGAGAGUUAGAUGUUAACUCGGUGGCUGUUAGAGCUUGAGAGAAAUAAAUUUGGUUGGGUGCUUAUGUGAUGAUUGCUGCUCGAUUUUGAAUGCCUUUCCAUUGCUUUUUCUCGAUUGUUAUUGAUGUUUUAAUAUUUUAUUUUCAUUAGUUGUAGGCUUGUUGGAUUAUGGAUUAUGCAGGAUUUGAUGUUGACCAUGCAGUAUGACAUUUGGCUGCAGCAGAAUUGUGGUUGUUACAGGUGUUUGUAUUGGCAUUGCAGCAUGACAUGACUCACCUUGCAAUUGUUCCCGAGUUUCUGCAGUAGGUUUUGAUGUGGAUCAUGAUGCCAGGUAUGGUUCAAUUGGUUUUGGUCAAGGUUUUAUUGGAAUCCUAAUGCAAGUUUGAUGCAUCUGGUUGCGUUGUGCCUUGCAUGUUGUUAUGGAUUUUGAUGUACAUGUAUGAUCACAUGGACUGGCUCGAGCAUGCAUUGCAAUAGAUGUUUUGCAGGUCUAUUCAUUUGCCUUAAUCCUGACUCUGCAGCUUAGCAUUUGCAGGGUUCUUGGCUUGGUGUUCUUCAGUUGUGGCUAUGGUCUGAAGUGGCAGGUAUGAUGUGCCUGGGUGAUGUUUGCUUCUGGUUUGGCAUGCUUUUGUUGCAGGAUUUUUGCAAGGUGAAGUGCUUGGUCCAAUGCAGAAUGGUAUUGGCCUAUGGUGUAACAUGACCAUGUGGGUGCUGCAAGUUUUCAUCUUGGUCCUGUUUAUUUUAUGAAGUGAUCCUGACCUAGGAUUCCGUUGCAUCUAGGGGUUCAUCCAUGUCUUUAGCAAUGGUUAUGCACAUGAAAUGGUUGGACAGGGCAACAUGACAUCCAAAUUGGAUUUUUGAAGCAUUAUGUCUAAAUGGCAAGCCAAAGGACCAUGGUGGAUCUUGAAUAAUUAGGAAAGAAGUUUAGGGUUUUAGGAUGGGGAAUUUAGGGUUUUAGGGGCUUAGGGUGACUUUGGUCAAAGUUGACCAAAAAGUCAAUUGUUGACCAAAGUCAACACUUGGUCAAAUAUCAAUUUUGUUGUAUUUUCAUGUAUAGACAUUUAUGAUUAUGAAAUGAAUGGCAUUGGUAUAUUUUUGAAUGAAA